This is a long non-coding RNA of Mercurialis annua (annual mercury), 305 nucleotides long. RefSeq lists it as uncharacterized. The transcript has 3 exons. The record is from RefSeq and is a predicted model, not a curated record. NCBI's taxonomy places the organism in Eukaryota, Viridiplantae, Streptophyta, Magnoliopsida, Malpighiales, Euphorbiaceae.
UUUAUUAUAAUAGGCUCGAAGCACUGUAAACAUUAAUAAUCGCAAGAAAGUGACCUUUUCUCACACUUCGGGAUCAAAGUCUUAUUGCCAACGUUUGUAUGAAAUGGAAACAUCUGAAGUCAUUGAUGAAGAGCCACCUGAAAUGAGGCUCUACAGUCAAGCACACCGUAAAAAAGACGGCUCAUGGAUUGACCCAGAAGCUGGAGAUAAAUACGAACAAAUGGAAGCUAUUCGCUCAAAAGCACUCGAGGAAGGCGUUGCAAUUGAUGGGAGGAAAAUUCUACAAAAGGUUUUGGAUAUACCGA